CUGCUCCGCAGGGACGUAGAGAGCCGCAGGCCCAAGGAGGGGCCGCCCCCGCCGAGCCCGCCCCUCCGCCCCAGCGCGGCCUGUCACCGCGGCCCCAGGUCGGGGGCUGCCGCAGGGCCCCCGGGGACCGGAGGGGCGCGCGAGGAGUCGGGCGCGGGCCUUGGGGCCAGGCCCGUCCCUCUUUCACAUGAAGCCCGGGCCGGGCGGGGUGGCGGGCGCGUGAAUCCUCGCAGCCGGCCGGGUCCUCCUGGCGCUCCUCGGCACUUCUAGCCGCUGCAACCCCGAGGCCCGCGGGAACUGGGCAGGAAAGGAGGAAGCCGCGGGCCCGCGUCGCUAGAGACCGGAGAAGAGGCGGGAGUGGCGACUCUGCGGACAGGGGCGCCGAGCGUCCUGGUCGUUGUUUUCGUCGCCGCCGCGGGCCGUGCAACCCCCGAACGCUGCGCCCAGCGGCCGCGGCACCCUCGUCAGGCGCCGCCGCUGAGGGCAGGCAGCCCGGCAGCCACUACACACGGACCCGUGACGUCGGGCGUAGCGCGGCGCACGUCACGGCCGCUCGCUCGUGCGCGCGCACCCCUCCGCCCGGCGGUAGCGGAACCCGCCGCGGGCGCGCGCCCGGCCCAGGGGAGUGGGUCGGCGCCUGCGCAGAGGCCCGCCACGCCCACACACAGGCCACCGCCCCCACCGGCCGGACGGCGCGGGGAUUCCCAGUCCUGGCUCCGCCCCGGCCUCGGCCCCGCCCCCGCCCCUGCCCCGGGGCAGCCUGUGCUGUUCCGUGUGCGCGGCGCAUACGCACCUGGGUUGUCUCGAGCCUGCGGUAGUGGCCAGAUCCCAGACAUCCGAGUAGAUCCCGUGAAAAGGUCUCCCACGUGGGCUGUGGACAGGGCCCAAGGGUAGCAGAGCUAGCAGAGGCAGUGACGGACUGUGUGGCAGGUCAUUUGCAAGGAGAAAAGCCGUCUGCCUCUUAAUUUGUGGCUCAAGUUUCAGAAUUUUUUUCCUGAGGGACUUUAGAAAUUACUUCAGGCUUGCCACCUAACCUUAAACCACCCCCUUGGAGACUGGCUAAGUGUUAUUUGUGUUUUCUGUUUAGUUCUUAUCACCAUCGAUACUUGGUUAUGACUGGUUGUGUACAUUGGUUAGCCCAGCAAGUAUUACUUCUCCAGCUUAACAGAUGUGGAAACUUAAGCCCAGAGACAUGAGUUGACACCCCACCCCCAAAGCUAGAGUCUAAAACCCUUUCUUUCGCUCCUCAUCUCCCACAGGAUAAAAUGCAAAUUAAUCAGACUAGUGGUGAGGCCCUCCGUGGUGUGACUAACCUGCAUCCCGACGUUUUCACCCUACUUUGAUCCAGAAAGCACCUUUCCGCCCCAUCUCUUCUCCUUUCCUUAAAUACCCCUUACAACUUCCUGUACCAUUCUUCCCUGUUCAGCUUCUUCUUGGUUUCUUCGUACAUUCUGGAUCCACCCCUUUCAUGCAUAUUCCAGACCACAUUUCCACUGGAGCAGUUGAAAUGAGAGAGAUGGGAAUGGGACUCACCCGAACCAGAGGAAUUUUUAUUACAGACCCAUUAACAGAGGUGUCAAAGUCACAGGAACAAGGAUGUGCACCUCAGAAACACAGAGGUCAGUGGAAAAUCAGUUUGCUUCUAUUUGUUUAAAAAAUGGGGGACUUAUGCAUAAAUCUAAGACCUUCUUGAAUCUAACAUUCUAAGACCUGUAUGCCACAGAAAGGAGGGUCUCAGAACGCCGGAGGAUAGUAUUUAAAUCUUAAAUAUCUAUAUUGUUCUCCACAGUUACUGGGUCACCACAUAGCAGGCAUUCAAUAAAAACGUGUUUGUUUACUAAGUAAUCUAGAGAUAAAUUUUUU
This 1863-nucleotide long non-coding RNA is filed under the name Homo sapiens (human). RNAcentral describes it as "PREDICTED lncRNA (TCONS_00151060)". Lineage: Eukaryota; Metazoa; Chordata; Mammalia; Primates; Hominidae. The record is from RNAcentral.